CCUGUCUGGACUGAGUGCACCCGGGACCAGAAGGAGCAGCCAUGUGCAUUCACGUGGCAUCAGAUCCGGUUUCAUCCACCACAGAGCCAACCAGCAACUAGACCAUCACCAGCUGGCCCCAGUGGCAAGAGAGAUCCUGACACACCACCUCCACCCCUUGGCCUGAAGCAGGACUGUCGGGCCUGGGCCUGGUCCGGUCCUAGCAGCGGCCCCGCUGAUGAUGAUGCAUGGACCAGCCAACGUGGAUGCUGGAUCCCGUCCUCACUAUGCUGCCUCCUCCAUCCCUGUGCCCCGGGCCAGCAGCUCCCAGAGCAAGCUCCAACCCCCGGCAGCCUCACCUAGGUUGCGCCCACGACCGAGCGGCCUGACGCCCGGACCCACCUCACGGUUGGCAAAGGCGGCGGGAGGCCCCGCUGCAUCUUCCCCCAAGGCCAGCAGGGGCCAGGGCUCCCCCAAAGCUCCGGCGGGCCUGAGGGAGGCCCUUGGCUCCGGGCAGGAGAGGCCGGGGAUGAUUGAGAGCCGGAGGGAAGAGGCCAGUGAAGGCCCUCCCAGCU
Molecule: long non-coding RNA, 554 nt
Organism: Tachyglossus aculeatus (Australian echidna)
Lineage: Eukaryota; Metazoa; Chordata; Mammalia; Monotremata; Tachyglossidae
Exons: 3
Source: RefSeq, a predicted model, not a curated record